UAUGGAGUAAACUAAUAAAGUUUUAAGAUUCAUACUCUUACCAUGGUCUAAUCGCCCUCCAUAA
This 64-nucleotide transfer RNA is filed under the name Brachionus manjavacas. RNAcentral's name for it is "tRNA-Met". Lineage: Eukaryota; Metazoa; Rotifera; Eurotatoria; Ploima; Brachionidae. RNAcentral also lists the same sequence under 1 other name. The record is from RNAcentral.